AUCUUCUUCAUAUGAACGAAAUCAGCAAGGGGGGAAGCCAUAGUUAGGGUUUUCAAGCUUCCAAGCUCCAUAAUCAAGAAGUACGAAACUCGAGGUUAGACAAAGGGAAGAAUAAAGUUGAAGACUAAGUUGGUGAAUUUGGCUAUAAUUGGUACCGAGUAUUGCAAAGCUACUUCAAGGAUCCUAAAGAAGUCGGAGAUCGUCCACACUAUCAACUACAACUGCUCGGUAUUUUAUAUCGAAACACGUUUGAGUUAUGGCAUGUAUAGGGAUUUAGUUUUUUUGUAUGUUUGUAAUGAUGAUUUUGCUAAUGAGUGAUGUGUAAGUAUUUGAUGAUGUAUGGUCAUUAAAAUGGUUAAGGAUGAAGGUGUUUGUUGUUAUGAAA
This is a long non-coding RNA of Gossypium raimondii (Peruvian cotton), 385 nucleotides long. RefSeq lists it as uncharacterized. Lineage: Eukaryota; Viridiplantae; Streptophyta; Magnoliopsida; Malvales; Malvaceae. The record is from RefSeq and is a predicted model, not a curated record. The transcript has 3 exons.